Molecule: unclassified non-coding RNA, 381 nt
Filed under: soil metagenome
Description: partial contains 5.8S ribosomal RNA, internal transcribed spacer 2, and large subunit ribosomal RNA
Rfam family: 5.8S ribosomal RNA (bases 1-120)
Source: RNAcentral
GAUGAAGAACGUAGCGAAAUGCGAUAAGUAAUGUGAAUUGCAGAAUUCAGUGAAUCAUCGAAUCUUUGAACGCACCUUGCGCUCCUUGGUAUUCCGAGGAGCAUGCCUGUUUGAGUGUCAUUAAUAUAUCAACCUCUUCAGCUUAUGCUUGUUGAGUGUUGGAUGGUGGGGGUUUGCUGGUGUCUUAUGAAGUCAGCUCCUCUGAAAUGCAUUAGCGGAACAAUUUGUUGACCGUUCAUUGGUGUGAUAAAAAUAUCCACGCUAUUGACGUCAGUCAGUUCAGCUUCUAACAGUCCAUUGACUUGGACAAAUUUUUCAUUAAUGUGACCUCAAAUCAGGUAGGACUACCCGCUGAACUUAAGCAUAUCAAUAAGCGGAGGA